RNAcentral lists this ribosomal RNA (460 nucleotides) under uncultured bacterium. RNAcentral describes it as "partial 16S ribosomal RNA". It matches the Rfam family "Bacterial small subunit ribosomal RNA", at positions 338 to 795 of the family's 1533-position model. The record is from RNAcentral.
CCUACGGGAGGCAGCAGUGAGGAAUAUUGGUCAAUGGACGAGAGUCUGAACCAGCCAAGUAGCGUGGAGGAUGACUGCCCUAUGGGUGGUAAACUUCUUUUAUAAAGGAAUAAAACGAGGCACGUGUGCCUUUUUCCAUGUCCUUUAUGAAUAAGGCUCGGCUAACUCCGUGCCAGCAGCCGCGGUAAUACGGAGGAUCCGAGCGUUAUCCGGAUUUAUUGGGUUUAAAGGGAGCGUAGAUGGGUUGUUAAGUCAGUUGUGAAAGUUUGCGGCUCAACCGUAAAAUUGCAAUUGAUACUGGCAGUCUUGAGUACAGGUGAGGUAGGCGGAAUUCGUGGUGUAGCGGUGAAAUGCGUAGAGAUCACGAAGAACCCCGAUUGCGAAGGCAGCUUACUAAACUGUGACUGACAUUGAUGCUCGAAAGUGUGGGUAUCAAACAGGAUUAGAUACCCGAGUAGUC